GACGAACGCCGGCGGCGUGCUUAACACAUGCAAGUCGAGCGGAAAACUUCGGUUUUCAGCGGCGGACGGGUGAGUAACACGUGGGCAACCUGCCUCACAAUGAGGGAUAGCCUUCCGAAAGGAAGAUUAAUACCUCAUAACACAAGAGAAACGCAUGUUUCUCUUGCCAAAGAAUUUCGUUGUGAGAUGGGCCCGCGGCGCAUUAGCUUGUUUGGGAGGUAACGGCUCAACAAGGCUUUGAUGCGUAGCCGACCUGAGAGGGUGAUCGGCCACAUUGGAACUGAGACACGGUCCAGACUCCUACGGGAGGCAGCAGUGGGGAAUAUUGCAAAAUGGAGGAAACUCUGAUGCAGCAAUGCCGCGUGAGUGAUGAAGGUCUUCGGAUUGUAAAACUCUGUCUUCUGGGACGAUAAUGACGGUACCAGAGGAGGAAGCCACGGCUAACUACGUGCCAGCCGCCGCAGUAA
RNAcentral lists this ribosomal RNA (467 nucleotides) under uncultured bacterium. Its description in RNAcentral is "partial 16S ribosomal RNA". It matches the Rfam family "Bacterial small subunit ribosomal RNA", at positions 28 to 523 of the family's 1533-position model. The record is from RNAcentral.